UAGAGAUUACAAGUCCAUAUCGUUUACGUUUCCAUAUGAACUUUGACAAAGAUUGUUAUCGUAUAGUGUUAUUUAUACUAAUAAAGUUAAUUAUUUUCUUAUCAGUGUUGUUUAUUUUUCCUGUGCGUAUGGACUAUACAUCCAUUGAUUUAAAAAAAAAUUAAAUUAUUUAAUCUUUCUAAUCGUCAGAAUUUAUUUAAAAUUGGCAUAGUUAUCUAACAGCGAAUUAUUGAGUCUUUAUAAGGCUAUUAAAAUAAAAAGAAAAAAAGUAAAGGAGACAAGUGAAUUUUAUAAUUACCAUUGCCUUAAUAAUAACGUCAAAAUGAUGAUGGAUUAUUUUGUAACAAAUAAUUCUUUAGCACCUGCACCUAUGGGAAUACAAAGUACAGCAGGUGCAGUGCCAGUAAAAAAUGAUAAAGGAGAACUAUCUAUGAAGAAAGUGAAAGUACAUCGUUAUGUUUCUGGUAAACGUCCUGAUUAUGCCCCCGUGGCUAGUUCAGAAGAAGAAUCAGAAGAUGAAGAUUUUUUAGAAAAACGUGUUCAUAAAAGUUAUGAUGACAAUGAAACUAUUACCGAUGUCCCACACACAGCUCAAGUUGUGAAAAUAAGAGAUGAAGAUGAUCCACGCUUAAGAAGAUUAACACGAUUAGAGAGACAACGAGAUUCAGCCACAGAAUCUCAUGUUGAAAGGCAAAGACAUAUUCAUGAGCCUGAAUUAAUUGAGAUAGAACCAGAAAGAUCACAUGAAAGGAUUAAGUUGGAAAGUUCAGAUUCAUCCGAAGAUGAAGAAUUAUCAGAUUCAGAAAUAGAGCGAAGACGUGAAGCUUUGAAACAACGAGUAUUAUCAAAAAAAGAGACAGAAGAAGAAUUAUUACAUGGAGAAGAAGACGAAAGAUCUGGUGAAAGCACGGAAGAAAGUUCAGAAUAUGAGGAGUACACGGAUUCUGAAGAAGAAACAGGCCCAAGACUUAAACCAGUUUUUGUUAGAAAAAAGGACAGAAUUACAGUUAUGGAGAAAGAAAAGGAGGCAAUGAAACAAAAACAAGUAGAAAUAGAAGCUAAAAAACUAGCAGAAGAACGGAAAAGGCAAACUUUUCGUAUGGUGGAGGAAGCAAUUCGUAAAGAAACACAAGUUAACAAAACUAAUAAUGAACAAGAAGGUAAGCUUGAAGAUGUUUGUACAGAUGAUGAAAAUGAUGAAGUUGAAUAUGAAGCUUGGAAAUUAAGAGAAUUAAAGAGAAUUAAACGAGAUCGGGAAGAAAGGGAACAAAUUGAAAAGGAGAGAUUAGAAAUUGAACGAAUACGUAAUAUGACUGAAGAAGAGCGUAGACAAGAAGCUCGAUUAAAUCCAAAGGUUAUAACUAAUAAAGCAGCAAAGGGAAAAUAUAAAUUUUUACAAAAAUAUUAUCAUCGUGGUGCCUUCUAUUUGGACAAAGAUGAUAACAUAUUUAAGAGAGACUUCUCUGGUGCUACUUUGGAAGAUCACUUUGAUAAAACAAUAUUACCAAAAGUUAUGCAAGUUAAGAACUUUGGUCGUAGUGGUAGAACUAAAUAUACUCAUUUAGUUGACCAAGAUACUACUCAAUUUGACUCUCCUUGGAUAUCGGAGACCGCUCAAAAUCUUAAAUUUCAUAAUAAUCAAGCUGCUGGAAUGAAACAAGUUUUUGAACGGCCAUCUUUGAAAAAAAGAAAAAAUGAAAAUUAAAUUUAAUACACGUAUCUAAGCAUUUAUAAAGUCUUACUCUGCAGAAGUAUAUGCACUAAAAUUUGUUAAUAAUAAGGUUUGGAUUAUCAAGAAAGUUCGUAUCAAUAAAGAUAAAUAAUAUUCAACCAUAUUUGACAAGCUGUUAGAACUUUCGAAACUAUUUAGCUGCUUGGGAAAUAUUUUUAAAUAGAUGUAUUUUUAAAAAGUUGUAUGGCGGAGGUUUUCCACCAUAUAAAGUGUCUGACAAUGGAUAACAAUUUCUAAUAGUAAAAAAUAUCAAGAAGUCACACUUUAUACUAUGAUAUUUUUGGGCAACAAUUUUAUAUACCUUUGCUACAUGUUACCUAUCAAAGCCACUGCGACUCAAGAUUCUCAUCUGUUGUAAUGUAUUUGCGCAGAAAAAUUUUCAGCCUGUACACUAAUAUAACGUAUGUCUGGUAUUCACGGACUCGCGUUAUAAACUGCGCGAACUUUCCUAUUAACCUAAUAUUAUAAAAUAUAAUAAUUUAUA
Vespa mandarinia (Asian giant hornet) is the source of this 2216-nucleotide unclassified non-coding RNA. NCBI's taxonomy places the organism in Eukaryota, Metazoa, Arthropoda, Insecta, Hymenoptera, Vespidae. The record is from RefSeq and is a predicted model, not a curated record.